Musca domestica (house fly) is the source of this 717-nucleotide long non-coding RNA. RefSeq lists it as uncharacterized. Lineage: Eukaryota; Metazoa; Arthropoda; Insecta; Diptera; Muscidae. The transcript is spliced from 3 exons. The record is from RefSeq and is a predicted model, not a curated record.
GGAUUUUCUCCUCUGAUUAUGUCCAACACAGGCUAACGCGAACCAAAGUUUUCUAAAUGUGGUGCUUUUGUAAUUCCAACGACGGCUACGCGAAAUAAACCUUUUUUUUACUGAAAACAUAAUUUUAAUAAACUGGUUAGAAUCGGGUUAUGCGGAUGGAAAGACCCAUAUCUCUGAACCCGAAAAAGGUAUUAACACAAAUUGUAGCAUUUUGGAAAGUGACACUUCACCAUUGGCUCACCUCAUGGCAUUCCCUUGGAUUUACCUGAUGUAUGGAUCAUCAUAGGCACCUUGCCAUAGCAUUCCAGUGAAAUAUGGAACAACUCAUAAUGUUGCGUGCCCAAACGAAGAACCUGCAAUUUGAAGAGUCCGCCUUUAAACGUCUCAAUGAAACCCGCACUGAAUAAGAUAAGAAAAUGUGGUUACGGUCUCUCAUCCCUCAGCAUCAGCACUCAUCAAAAGAUCUUUCAGUGUGGAAGCAUGAUACAAUUUUUUUGGAAUGAAACUUUGAGUAUUCUUUUUGUUUUUGUUUUAGCUGCAAUUCGCAUGUAUAUUUGAGGUACGCAAAACAAAAUGUGGGUCGUUAAAUUGCGUAUUAUAUAGAUUUACUUAUACUUGAAUUUGCUAUUAGGUUAAGCUAAUAUGUAGUACAAAAUAAGAUGAUUAUAGUUGAUAUUUACAUUUCAAAAGAAUAAAUCAGUAAUGAAAUCUGCCUAA